GGGGAAUAUUGCGCAAUGGGGGAAACCCUGACGCAGCAACGCCGCGUGAAGGAUGAAGGUUUUCGGAUCGUAAACUUCUUUGAUGAGGGACGAAGAAUGACGGUACCUCAAAAACAAGCCACGGCUAACUACGUGCCAGCAGCCGCGGUAAUACGUAGGUGGCGAGCGUUGUCCGGAAUUACUGGGUGUAAAGGGCGUGUAGGCGGGAAUGCAAGUCAGAUGUGAAAUACCGUGGCUUAACCACGGGGCUGCAUCUGAAACUGUGUUUCUUGAGUGUCGGAGAGGAGAGUGGAAUUCCCAGUGUAGCGGUGAAAUGCGUAGAUAUUGGGAGGAACACCAGUGGCGAAGGCGACUUUCUGGACGAUAACUGACGCUGAGGCGCGAAAGCGUGGGGAGCAAACA
This 402-nucleotide ribosomal RNA is filed under the name uncultured bacterium. RNAcentral describes it as "bacterial SSU rRNA". It matches the Rfam family "Bacterial small subunit ribosomal RNA", at positions 356 to 774 of the family's 1533-position model. The record is from RNAcentral.